Molecule: transfer RNA, 85 nt
Filed under: Candidatus Lokiarchaeum sp. GC14_75
Lineage: Archaea; Promethearchaeati; Promethearchaeota; Promethearchaeia; Promethearchaeales; Promethearchaeaceae
Also listed under: 2 other names
Description: Lokiarchaeum sp. GC14_75 tRNA-Leu
Rfam family: tRNA
About the family: Transfer RNA (tRNA) molecules are approximately 80 nucleotides in length. Their secondary structure includes four short double-helical elements and three loops (D, anti-codon, and T loops).
Source: RNAcentral
GCGGGGAUUGCCAAGUUUGGUCAAAGGCGAUGGGCUCAGAACCCAUUCUCGUAGGAGUUCGGGAGUUCAAAUCUCCCUUCCCGCA